This 54-nucleotide transfer RNA is filed under the name Tripidium arundinaceum. Its description in RNAcentral is "tRNA-fMet". It matches the Rfam family "tRNA", at positions 7 to 57 of the family's 71-position model. From Rfam's summary of the family: Transfer RNA (tRNA) molecules are approximately 80 nucleotides in length. Their secondary structure includes four short double-helical elements and three loops (D, anti-codon, and T loops). The record is from RNAcentral. Lineage: Eukaryota; Viridiplantae; Streptophyta; Magnoliopsida; Poales; Poaceae. RNAcentral also lists the same sequence under 8 other names.
GUAGAGCAGUUUGGUAGCUCACGAGGCUCAUAACCUUGAGGUCACGGGUUCGAU